This is a long non-coding RNA of Ailuropoda melanoleuca (giant panda), 377 nucleotides long. RefSeq lists it as uncharacterized. The transcript is spliced from 3 exons. Lineage: Eukaryota; Metazoa; Chordata; Mammalia; Carnivora; Ursidae. The record is from RefSeq and is a predicted model, not a curated record.
ACUCCUGUAAGGACACUGGUGAUUACACUGUGCCUCGGGGAGUCCGUGAUAAUCUUCCCACCCCAAUACCCUUCACUUCAUGACAUCUCCACAGUUCCUUUUGCUACAUAAGGAUUCAAUUUCUCCAGCCUGUUGGACCAAAGGGUUCUGUUCCUCACUUGCUGUUGGCUGGAGGCUGCCCCUAGUUCCUAGCCAAAUGGACCUUUCUAUGGAGAAGACAGCUCACACCAUGCCAGCUUCCUUCAUCAGCACAAACAAGCUGGAAGGACAGAGUUCUAGCAAGACAGAAACCACAGCCUUUGGCAACCUAAUCUUAGAGAGAGGGAGAGAGAGAGAACAAGCAAGGGGAGCAGAAGAAGCAGGUUCCCUGCUGAGCA